CGAAAUGCGAUAAGUAAUGNGAAUUGCAGAAUUCAGUGAAUCAUCGGAUCUUUGAACGCACCUUGCA
Molecule: ribosomal RNA, 67 nt
Filed under: uncultured Sebacina
Lineage: Eukaryota; Fungi; Basidiomycota; Agaricomycetes; Sebacinales; Sebacinaceae
Description: partial 5.8S ribosomal RNA
Rfam family: 5.8S ribosomal RNA
About the family: 5.8S ribosomal RNA (5.8S rRNA) is a component of the large subunit of the eukaryotic ribosome. It is transcribed by RNA polymerase I as part of the 45S precursor that also contains 18S and 28S rRNA.
Source: RNAcentral